CCUGGUUGAUCUUGCCAGUAGUCAUAUGCUUGUCUCACAGAUUAAGCCAUGCAAGUGAAAGUACAUAUGUAAAUAAUAUAUUGAAACUGCGAACGGCUCAUUAAAACAGUUAUAAUCUACUUGAUGUUUUUAAUAUAAGGAUAACUACGGAAAAUCUGUAGCUAAUACUUGUGAAAAUACCUUUUGAUAUAUACAUAUGUAUGUAUCAUUAAGGUAUGUAUUUGUUAGAUAUAAGAAUAAAAUAAAUAUAAUUGAAUUAUAACAAAGAAGAAACACAUAAAAUAUGUGUAUUAUCAAUCGAGUAUCUGACCUAUCAGCUUUUGAUGUUAGGGUAUUGACCUAACAUGGCUAUGACGGGUAACGGGGAAUUAGAGUUCGAUUCCGGAGAGGGAGCCUGAGAAAUAGCUACCACAUCUAAGGAAGGCAGCAGGCGCGUAAAUUACCCAAUUCUAAAAAAGAGAGGUAGUGACAAGAAAUAACAAUACAAUAUCGAAAAAUGAUUUUGUAAUUGGAAUGAUAGGAAUUUACAAGGUUCCUAGAGAAACAAUUGGAGGGCAAGUCUGGUGCCAGCAGCCGCGGUAAUUCCAGCUCCAAUAGCAUAUAUUAAAAUUGUUGCAGUUAAAACGUUCGUAGUUGAAUAUUAAAGAAUCCGAUGUUUCAUUUAAACUGGUUUGGGAAAACCAAAUAUAUUAUAUAUUUUGCUUUGUUCAAAAUAAGGUUUUCUAAUAAAUUAUGUUUUUAUCAGAUAUGACAGAAUCUUUUUUAAAAUCUCUUCAAUAUGCUUUUAUUGCUUUUGAGAGGUUUUGUUACUUUGAGUAAAAUUAAGUGUUCAUAACAGACGGGUAGUCAUGAUUGAGUUCAUUGUGUUUGAAUACUACAGCAUGGAAUAACAAAUAUGAAUAAGCUAAUUAUUUUUUUUUUUCAUUAUUUUUUUUGAUAUUCUUAUUAGCUUAGUUACGAUUAAUAGGAGUAGCUUUGGGGGCAUUCGUAUUCAGAUGUCAGAGGUGAAAUUCUAAGAUUUUCUGGAGACGGACUACUGCGAAAGCAUUUGCCUAAUCUAUUUCCAUUAAUCAAGAACGAAAGUUAAGGGAGUGAAGACGAUCAGAUACCGUCGUAAUCUUAACCAUAAACUAUACCGACUAGGUGUUGGAUGAAUAUAAAAAAUAUAUAAAUAUGUAGCAUUUCUUAGGGAAUGUUGAUUUUAUAUUAGAAUUGCUUCCUUCAGUACCUUAUGAGAAAUCAAAGUCUUUGGGUUCUGGGGCGAGUAUUCGCGCAAGCGAGAAAGUUAAAAGAAUUGACGGAAGGGCACCACCAGGCGUGGAGCUUGCGGCUUAAUUUGACUCAACACGGGAAAACUCACUAGUUUAAGACAAGAGUAGGAUUGACAGAUUAAUAGCUCUUUCUUGAUUUCUUGGAUGGUGAUGCAUGGCCGUUUUUAGUUCGUGAAUAUGAUUUGUCUGGUUAAUUCCGAUAACGAACGAGAUCUUAACCUGCUAAUUAGCGGUAAGUACACUAUAUUUUUAUUUGAAAUUGAAUAUAGGUAAUUAUACAUGUUUAUUCAGUGUUCAAAUUAGGAUAUUUUUUUUAUUAAAAUAUUCUUUUCCCUGUUCUACUAUAAUAAUUUGUUUUUUUUUACUCUAUUUCUCUCUUCUUUUAAGAAUGUACUUGUUUGAUUAAAUAAAGCUUCUUAGAGGAACAGUGUGUAUCUAACACAAGGAAGUUUAAGGCAACAACAGGUCUGUGAUGUCCUUAGAUAAACUAGGCUGCACGCGUGCUACAAUGAUAUAUAUAACAAGUUGUUAAAAAUGUACUUAUAAAUAAGUGUGUACAAUUUUUCCUGUACUGAAAAGUAUAGGUAAUCUUUAUCAGUAUAUAUCGUAAUUGGGAUAGAUUAUUGCAAUUAUUAAUCUUGAACGAGGAAUGCCUAGUAAGCAUGAUUCAUUAGAUUGUGCUGACUACGUCCCUGCCCUUUGUACACACCGCCCGUCGCUCCUACCGAUUGAAAGAUAUGAUAAAUUGUUUGGAUAUGAAUUAAAAUAAUGAAAUUUUAUAUUUCUGAUUUUUUCUAGAAGAACUGUAAAUCCUAUCUUUUAAAGGAAGGAGAAGUCGUAACAAGGUUUCCGUAGGUGAACCUGCGGAAG
Molecule: ribosomal RNA, 2141 nt
Filed under: Plasmodium falciparum 7G8
Lineage: Eukaryota; Apicomplexa; Aconoidasida; Haemosporida; Plasmodiidae
Description: SSU rRNA
Rfam family: Eukaryotic small subunit ribosomal RNA
Source: RNAcentral